UCGAUCGCCAGGAGCAGGGUUGGGCACCCCUGCUGUAGAGGGUGUGCCAUUUCCCAGUGUCUUUUAUGCAACUUACCAUCUAUCACCCAAAAGGUGUACACAAUCAAUGCAAAUUCCAAUUGUAAGUUCCCGUCUCCAUUUGGAGGAUGUUUGUCUUAGUCUGAGUAUUUAAGUGAAUGUUGCAAGAAGAUCUGGGCGCUUCUGUAACCAGAUGAGCGUGUUGCGUGGAGUGUGUCCAUACACUCCAUACUAUGUAUUUUCCUGAAUUCAGGACCAGAACUGUGUGGAGGCUACAGAAUCCUCAUCAGAGUCCAUUCCAACAUAUCAAAAGUCUGAAAACACUCACUUUGAAGAGGAAACUUUUUCAUUUUAUCAGGAGACUGAAAAAAAUCUUUUUUUUUUUUUUAAAUUUUUUUUUAUCCUUAUCUCUGGAAGAAGUAUCAUCUAUAAGCAUCUCACUUUCUUCAUCCAAAGCAAUUCAACCUCUUUUAUUUCCAUGCUAGUACUUGCCUCUUCCUCAGUAUCAGUGAUUAUCUGUUGACUGUUCUCAACAGAGUUCUCUGUUUUCCUGCUUCAACAUUUAAUUGUGUUCAAACCUCUCAGCUCUGUUUUGUUGUUUCUGUUUUGUUCCCUGAGAAUCAAUUGAUUCAUUCUGUUUCUGACUCUGAGAUUCAUUUAAAAAAAAAAAAAUGUGUCCUUAAGAUUCAUUUGAUCCAUAUUGUUCUUGUCCCUGCGAUUCAUUCACUUCUUUCUGUUUUUGUCUUUGAAGUUCAUUUAAUUCACCCAGUAUUGGUCUCUGAAGUUCAUUCUGCUGUUGUCUUUGAUGUACAGCUAAUUCAUUCUGUUUUUGUCCCUGAUUUUCACUUGAUUCAUUCUGUAUUUGUCUCUUCUGAGUUUCAUUUGAUUCAUUCUGGUUUUGUCUUUGAGAUUAAUUCAACUUGUUCUGGAGUCUUA
Molecule: long non-coding RNA, 954 nt
Organism: Sinocyclocheilus rhinocerous
Lineage: Eukaryota; Metazoa; Chordata; Actinopteri; Cypriniformes; Cyprinidae
Exons: 2
Source: RefSeq, a predicted model, not a curated record